AGUGAACGCUGGCGGUAGGCCUAACACAUGCAAGUCGAACGGCAGCACAGUAAGAGCUUGCUCUUACGGGUGGCGAGUGGCGGACGGGUGAGGAAUACAUCGGAAUCUACUUUUUCUUGGGGGAUAACGUAGGGAAACUUACGCUAAUACCGCAUACGACCUACGGGUGAAAGCAGGGGAUCUUCGGACCUUGCGCGAUUGAAUGAGCCGAUGUCGGAUUAGCUAGUUGGCGGGGUAAAGGCCCACCAAGGCGACGAUCCGUAGCUGGUCUGAGAGGAUGACAAGCCAAACUGAAACUGAGAAACGGCCCAAACCCCACGGGAGGCAGCAGUGGGGAAUAUUGGACAAUGGGCGCAAGCCUGAUCCAGCCAUACCGCGUGGGUGAAGAAGGCCUUCGGGUUGUAAAGCCCUUUUGUUGGGAAAGAAAAGCAGCAGGUUAAUACCCCGCUGUUCUGACGGUACCCAAAGAAUAAGCACCGGCUAACUUCGUG
RNAcentral lists this ribosomal RNA (491 nucleotides) under uncultured bacterium. RNAcentral describes it as "partial 16S ribosomal RNA". It matches the Rfam family "Bacterial small subunit ribosomal RNA", at positions 29 to 507 of the family's 1533-position model. The record is from RNAcentral.